RNAcentral lists this ribosomal RNA (253 nucleotides) under uncultured bacterium. Its description in RNAcentral is "partial 16S ribosomal RNA". It matches the Rfam family "Bacterial small subunit ribosomal RNA", at positions 524 to 776 of the family's 1533-position model. The record is from RNAcentral.
UACGUAGGGGGCAAGCGUUGUCCGGAAUCAUUGGGCGUAAAGAGCGCGUAGGCGGCCCUGUAAGUCCGCUGUGAAAGUCAAGGGCUCAACCCUUGGAUGCCGGUGGAUACUGCAGGGCUAGAGUCCGGAAGAGGCGAGUGGAAUUCCUGGUGUAGCGGUGAAAUGCGCAGAUAUCAGGAGGAACACCGGUGGCGAAGGCGGUUCUCUGGGAAUGUCCUGACGCUGAGGAGCGAAAGUGUGGGGAGCGAACAGG